GGUAGCUAUACAGAAAAGUGUGGAUGCUGCAAAAUAUGUUAUGCUUGCCCUGGUCAUCAAUGUGACUUGAUCAACGGACCACUCUGUAAACUGGGAUAUGUUUGCAAAUCGAUUCUAUUAAUAGAUUUACGAUUUCAUAUAUAUAUAUGUGUUUCAAUAAAAAUAGGUUAAAAGAUAAAAGUUACGAAACUGACAUACAACGAAUAUGUUGAGUUCUGAUAACUUUCAAACCUAUUAAUACUUUCUAUAUAAAAAUACUUUGUGCUUCAUAACUUUAUAUUCAACUUUUUUUCAAUACAUUUAAGUUUCCUAAUAUCUAACAGUAACCUUACAAUGACUUCACUUUUUAUUUUGUGAAAUAAAAAUGUGUCUACAAAUUA
Long non-coding RNA from Limulus polyphemus (Atlantic horseshoe crab), 380 nucleotides. RefSeq lists it as uncharacterized. The transcript has 2 exons. Lineage: Eukaryota; Metazoa; Arthropoda; Merostomata; Xiphosura; Limulidae. The record is from RefSeq and is a predicted model, not a curated record.